UACGGAGGGUGCGAGCGUUGUCCGGAAUCACUGGGCGUAAAGGGCGCGUAGGUGGCCUGUGGAAGUCUGCGGUGAAAGCCCGGCGCUCAACGCCGGGUCGGCCGUGGAUACUCUCGGGCUUGAGCUUACUAGAGGCAGAUGGAAUUCCGGGUGUAGCGGUGGAAUGCGUAGAGAUCCGGAAGAACACCGGUGGCGAAGGCGGCAUCCUGGACCGGCAUUGACGCUGAGGCGCGAAAGCCAGGGGAGCAAAGCGGG
This 255-nucleotide ribosomal RNA is filed under the name uncultured bacterium. Its description in RNAcentral is "partial 16S ribosomal RNA". It matches the Rfam family "Bacterial small subunit ribosomal RNA", at positions 524 to 777 of the family's 1533-position model. The record is from RNAcentral.